RNAcentral lists this ribosomal RNA (446 nucleotides) under uncultured bacterium. Its description in RNAcentral is "partial 16S ribosomal RNA". It matches the Rfam family "Bacterial small subunit ribosomal RNA", at positions 29 to 523 of the family's 1533-position model. The record is from RNAcentral.
AGCGAACGCUGGCGGCAGGCUUAACACAUGCAAGUCGAACGCCCCUCAAGGGGAUUGGCAGACGGGUGAGUAACACGUGGGAACGUACCCUUUGGUUCGGAAUAACUUGGGGAAACUCAAGCUAAUACCGGAUAAGCCCUUAUGGGGAAAGUUUACUGCCGAAGGAUCGGCCCGCGUAUGAUUAGCUAGUUGGUGAGGUAAAGGCUCACCAAUGCGACGAUCGGUAGCUGGACUGUGAGGAUGAUCAGCCACACUGGGACUGAGACACGGCCCAGAGUACUACGGGAGGCAGCGGUGGUGAAUAUUGGAGAAUGGGGGCAACCCUGAUCCAGCCAUGCCGCGUACGUGAUGAAGGCGUUAGGGUUGUAAAGCUCUUUUACCCGGGACGAUAAUGACUGUACCGGGAGAAUAAGCCCCGGCUAACUUCGUGCCAGCAGCCGCCGUAA